AACGGAGGGUGCAAGAGGUAUCCGGAAUCACUGGGUUUAAAGGGUGCGUAGGCGGCUAAAUAAGUCAGAGGUGAAAGCUUGCAGCUUAACUGCGAAAUUGCCUUUGAUACUGUAUAGCUUGAAAGGAGCUGAGGUCAGCAGAAUGUGGCAUGUAGCGGUGAAAUGCAUAGAUAUGCCAUAGAAUACCAAUUGCGAAGGCAGCUGGCUGGGCUUACUUUGACGCUGAGGCACGAAAGCGUGGGGAUCGAACAGG
Molecule: ribosomal RNA, 253 nt
Filed under: uncultured bacterium
Lineage: Bacteria
Description: partial 16S ribosomal RNA
Rfam family: Bacterial small subunit ribosomal RNA
Source: RNAcentral